RNAcentral lists this ribosomal RNA (254 nucleotides) under uncultured bacterium. RNAcentral describes it as "partial 16S ribosomal RNA". It matches the Rfam family "Bacterial small subunit ribosomal RNA", at positions 523 to 776 of the family's 1533-position model. The record is from RNAcentral.
GUACGUAGGGUGCAAGCGUUAUCCGGAAUUAUUGGGCGUAAAGAGCUCGUAGGCGGUCUGUCGCGUCUGCUGUGAAAUCUGGGGGCUCAACCCCCAGCCUGCAGUGGGUACGGGCAAACUAGAGUAUUGCAGGGGAGACUGGAAUUCCUGGUGUAGCGGUGAAAUGCGCAGAUAUCAGGAGGAACACCGGUGGCGAAGGCGGGUCUCUGGGCCGAUACUGACGCUGAGGAGCGAAAGCGUGGGGAGCGAACAGG